RNAcentral lists this long non-coding RNA (617 nucleotides) under Fukomys damarensis (Damara mole-rat). RNAcentral's name for it is "lncRNA (ENSFDAG00000027386.1)". The record is from RNAcentral. Lineage: Eukaryota; Metazoa; Chordata; Mammalia; Rodentia; Bathyergidae.
ACAGCACACCAUCACCAAUCUUGUCUUUAAACUUUUGACAUUUUGUCAUGAAUUUUUUUUGGUAUUGAGACUUUUAAAGAAAACUGCGUUAACAUUAUUCAUUUACUUCAACUGUAUGUCUGAGGCAAGUGCUUACUCUCUCUGCCUUCCAGUCACCCAUCCAUUCCCACAACACAGAUUUGGGAUUUUGCUGUCACCUUCAGACCUCUGACAACAGUUUUGUUUUGUUUUUUCCACAGAAGAUCAGAGGAGGCUUCCUCCUUCUCCUGCCACAGCUGCUGCAAUUAAUUUUUCCCUACACCAUCCAUGACCACUGCCGGGAGGGGCUGGUGCAGCAUCCCACCCACGAUGCCAGGCAGCACAUGAGGGACACACAGGCAGGCAGAGAGGAAGGAGGAGGACAGCCACACUACACUGGAUUUUCAACCAAAAGAAAAAAAAACACAGCACAGAAUCUACAAUCUGGCCACGAAUGACUGAGGAGCACUACCCAGCUCUCUGGGCCCUAGGGGCACAGCCUCAGGGUCCCCACGCUGAAGGCCCAUGUGACAGCUCUGUCCUUCAAUUCUUCAUCUCUGACCUUCAUUCCAAUAAAACCAGCUGCUUUCCCUAUGGUG